CUCCCGCCUCUCAGCUGAUCGGCGGGUGGGCGGGGCUUCCACGGAGGCCUCCGUGUAGGCCACAGUGAAGCCUGAACUCGAGUAGGGCCCAAGCCAGCCAGGAAGGAGGAGGCAGCCAGAGUGUUCUCUGCAGCAGAAGACCCCUUGCUGCCCUGCUUAACCCAGACCAGCAUUUGCCAGUUUGUGGAUAGGGAUGCUGUCAAGAGAGUGGAACAUCCUGCCCAAAAGAACUGCACCUGACCCCUUCAUUGCUUGCUUUUUGGAAAACAGCAAAGUCUUUUCUUUCCCAGCAGGCCCUGCUGCCAGUUUUGUUAGCUGAGAGCAUGCUGCAUGGCUCCUUGGAGCGCGCAGACUUCACCAUGAUGCAAGCUUUUAUUUUCUGAACUACAACUUAAGACUGAAGAUGUACUGAGCCUCCUAACGCCAGACAGGAAGAAAGGCAUAGGAGCUACAAACAGUCUCAGAUAUUCACAACAUCCCUGUGCCUUUUAUCUACAGUAAGUUGUAAAGAAUGGUGAAGAAAGGCAAAAUUAUUCAGUACAAUAGUCUGUGAUCACCCUCUCAAUAUAUUCUGUAGGACAGUAAAUGAAAGAGAAUGUGUAAAAUAUUCACCCAUUAUAUUUGCAUGUAAAACCAAGAGCAGGAAUACGAUAAAUCAAGGCUUUUGGUUUGUUUUACAUUUUCCUUCUCUAAGAUGAUGAAUGAUCAGAAAAGAGAAUCAAAUACAUUGUUAGAACAGUUCAAUUGAACUAGCCUUUUCAAAAACAAAUAUCUAUCCAUGGCAGAUCCAGGCUGGUAAAAGUACCAUUCAAAUGCCAUGACACUACAGGAG
Molecule: long non-coding RNA, 832 nt
Organism: Hemicordylus capensis (graceful crag lizard)
Lineage: Eukaryota; Metazoa; Chordata; Lepidosauria; Squamata; Cordylidae
Exons: 4
Source: RefSeq, a predicted model, not a curated record